AACGCACAUUGCGCCCGCCAGUAUUCUGGCGGGCAUGCCUGUCCGAGCGUCAUUUCAACCCUCGAACCCCUCCGGGGGGUCGGCGUUGGGGAUCGGCCCCUCACCGGGCCGCCCCCGAAAUACAGUGGCGGUCUCGCCGCAGCCUCUCCUGCGCAGUAGUUUGCACACUCGCACCGGGAGCGCGGCGCGGCCACAGCCGUAAAACACCCCAAACUCUGAAAUGUUGACCUCGGAUCAGGUAGGAAUACCCGCUGAACUUAA
RNAcentral lists this unclassified non-coding RNA (261 nucleotides) under uncultured fungus. Its description in RNAcentral is "partial contains 5.8S ribosomal RNA, internal transcribed spacer 2, and large subunit ribosomal RNA". The stretch from base 1 to 52 matches the Rfam family "5.8S ribosomal RNA", at positions 103 to 154 of the family's 154-position model. Lineage: Eukaryota; Fungi. The record is from RNAcentral.